This 22-nucleotide microRNA is filed under the name Blattella germanica (German cockroach). Its description in RNAcentral is "Bge-Mir-282_3p* (star (passenger))". Lineage: Eukaryota; Metazoa; Arthropoda; Insecta; Blattodea; Blattellidae. The record is from RNAcentral.
ACAUAGCCUAAAAGAGGUUAGU